GAUGAACGCUGGCGGCGUGCCUAAUACAUGCAAGUCGAGCGAACAGAUGAGGAGCUUGCUCCUCUGACGUUAGCGGCGGACGGGUGAGUAACACGUGGAUAACCUACCUAUAAGACUGGGAUAACUUCGGGAAACCGGAGCUAAUACCGGAUAAUAUAUUGAACCGCAUGGUUCAAUAGUGAAAGACGGUUUUGCUGUCACUUAUAGAUGGAUCCGCGCCGCAUUAGCUAGUUGGUAAGGUAACGGCUUACCAAGGCAACGAUGCGUAGCCGACCUGAGAGGGUGAUCGGCCACACUGGAACUGAGACACGGUCCAGACUCCUACGGUAGGCAGCAGUAGGGAAUCUUCCGCUAUGUGCGAAAGCCCGACGGAGCAACGCCGCGUGAGUGAUGAAGGUCUUCGGAUCGUAAGACUCUGUGAUUAGGGAAGAACAAAUGUGUAAGUAACUAUGCACGUCUUGACGGUACCUAAGCAGAAAGCCACGGCUAACUACGUG
Molecule: ribosomal RNA, 497 nt
Filed under: uncultured bacterium
Lineage: Bacteria
Description: partial 16S ribosomal RNA
Rfam family: Bacterial small subunit ribosomal RNA
Source: RNAcentral